UACGAAGGGUGCAAGCGUUAAUCGGAAUUACUGGGCAUAAAGCGCGCGUAGGUGGUUCAGUAAGUUGGAAGUGAAAUCCCCGGGCUCAACCUGGGAACUGCUUUCAAAACUGCUGAGCUAGAGUACGGUAGAGGGUGGUGGAAUUUCCUGUGUAGCGGUGAAAUGCGUAGAUAUAGGAAGGAACACCAGUGGCGAAGGCGACCACCUGGACUGAUACUGACACUGAGGUGCGAAAGCGUGGGGAGCAAACAGG
RNAcentral lists this ribosomal RNA (253 nucleotides) under uncultured bacterium. RNAcentral's name for it is "partial 16S ribosomal RNA". It matches the Rfam family "Bacterial small subunit ribosomal RNA", at positions 524 to 776 of the family's 1533-position model. The record is from RNAcentral.